AUUGAACGCUGGCGGCAUGAUUUACACAUGCAAGUCGAACGGUAACAGGCCGCAAGGUGCUGACGAGUGGCGAACGGGUGAGUAAUGCAUCGGAACGUGCCCAGUCGUGGGGGAUAACUACUCGAAAGAGUAUCUAAUACCGCAUACGAUCUAUGGAUGAAAGCGGGGGACCGUAAGGCCUCGCGCGAUUGGAGCGGCCGAUGUCAGAUUAGGUAGUUGGUGGGGUAAAGGCUCACCAAGCCAACGAUCUGUAGCUGGUCUGAGAGGACGACCAGCCACACUGGGACUGAGACACGGCCCAGACUCCUACGGGAGGCAGCAGUGGGGAAUUUUGGACAAUGGGCGCAAGCCUGAUCCAGCAAUGCCGCGUGCAGGAAGAAGGCCUUCGGGUUGUAAACUGCUUUUGUACGGAACGAAACGGCUCUGGUUAAUACCCGGGGCUAAUGACGGUACCGUAAGAAUAAGCACCGGCUAACUACGUG
RNAcentral lists this ribosomal RNA (482 nucleotides) under uncultured bacterium. RNAcentral describes it as "partial 16S ribosomal RNA". It matches the Rfam family "Bacterial small subunit ribosomal RNA", at positions 30 to 507 of the family's 1533-position model. The record is from RNAcentral.